CAAAAACAUAGCCCUAAGAAAUUAUUUAGGGUAAGCCCUGCCCGGUGACGUGAGUUUAACGGCCGCAGUACCUUGACUGUGCUAAGGUAGCGUAAUCAGUUGGCUUUUAAAUGGAGUCUAGUAUGAAUGGGUUUAUGGGGGGUAGCUGUCUCAAGUUUGUGCUUUGAAAUUCCUAAGAAGGUGAAAAUUCCUUCAAGCAAAUAAAAGACGAGAAGACCCUUAGAGCUUUGAAUAAUAAUAUAGAAUUAUAUUUCCUUUUUUGUUGGGGCGACAUGGAGACAAUUAAACUCUCCUUCGUAAAAGUUAACUUGCCGACGAAUUGUAAGUACGAAUAAGCUACCUUAGGGAUAACAGCAUAAUUUUCUUUUAAGCUUGUGACCUCGAUGUUGGACUAGGGACUUUAUGACUAGCCGUCAAAUUAGCAUGUUCUGUUCGAACACGACCCCCUACAUGAUCUGAGU
This 461-nucleotide ribosomal RNA is filed under the name Phallomedusa solida. RNAcentral's name for it is "partial 16S ribosomal RNA". It matches the Rfam family "Bacterial large subunit ribosomal RNA", at positions 1808 to 2610 of the family's 2925-position model. Lineage: Eukaryota; Metazoa; Mollusca; Gastropoda; Phallomedusidae. The record is from RNAcentral.